This 103-nucleotide small nuclear RNA is filed under the name Alligator mississippiensis (American alligator). The record is from RNAcentral. Lineage: Eukaryota; Metazoa; Chordata; Crocodylia; Alligatoridae.
UCGCUUCAGCAGCACAUAUACUAAAAUUGGAACGAUACAGAGAAGAUUAGCAUGGCCCCUACGCAAGGAUGACACGCAAAUUCGUGAAGCCUUCCUUCCUUCC